This 765-nucleotide long non-coding RNA is filed under the name Gossypium raimondii (Peruvian cotton). Its description in RNAcentral is "long non-coding RNA (GRAI_LNC005464)". Lineage: Eukaryota; Viridiplantae; Streptophyta; Magnoliopsida; Malvales; Malvaceae. The record is from RNAcentral.
AUCUUCUCCUUGAGGUUCCUGAAUUGGAAGGUUGGGUUUCAAUAUUGACAAAUAUCUUAUUUAUGCAAUUGGUUAUUUAAGAGAUCAAAUUGGCAUCAACCAUUUCGUCUUAAAUUUGGCAUUUUAAAGGUACCUGCACAAAGGAACUCGGCACGAAUUUGAAUCAGUGCAGAGACGGGAAUGUAACUCCAGUAGCUGCCACAUUCUUUUGCAAUGAAUACAGCCGCCAGGAACUCUCAACUUGCAACUAGCAAAAUGGCGAACAAGCAAUUCUAACCCUUUGCAACAGUCUCCAUAAUCGCAGGGUGUUUGGUGUUCUUUCAAAUCCUUAUCAUGUGGUCCAAUUGUCCUGCAACCAUCUCUGAAUAUGUGAACAAGAGCCUCCAUUGCUUCACAUAAUUGAAGGUAGAUCCUCUGCUCAUUUGAUUUCCUGUUUUUCUCCUUUUGCAUCUGCAAAAUUUGCAUUUAGAGAUUUAGGUCAAAGUGCUAGAACCCAAGGUUACAAGGGGCAGUAGCCUUACCAUGAUAUCCCUCUCAUGUUCUUCAUCCAUCAUGGAUUCAAGAAGUUCUUUUUCAAGUGCUGGAUUGCUCUUCUUCAUUGCUUUCCACCCUUCAGUUUCGCGAACUGCCUUGCAGGUCAUUACGAUCAUACGGUGAGUGAUCAGCGUUAGUCGAGGCGCAUCACACAGUAACGAAAGCUGGAAGGCAUCAACUACAUUUUCUAUAGUAAGCAAGCCAUGCUCAAGUUGCUGUUCACAAGCUCGC